AACGAACGCUGGCGGCAGGCUUAACACAUGCAAGUCGAACGCCCCGCCAGGGGAGUGGCGGACGGGUGAGUAACGCGUGGGAACAUACCCUUUUCUACGGAAUAGCUCUGGGAAACUGGAAUUAAUACCGUAUACGCCCUACGGGGGAAAGAUUUAUCGGGGAAGGAUUGGCCCGCGUUGGAUUAGCUAGUUGGUGGGGUAAAGGCCUACCAAGGCGACGAUCCAUAGCUGGUCUGAGAGGAUGAUCAGCCACAUUGGGACUGAGACACGGCCCAAACUCCUACGGGAGGCAGCAGUGGGGAAUAUUGGACAAUGGGCGCAAGCCUGAUCCAGCCAUGCCGCGUGAGUGAUGAAGGCCUUAGGGUUGUAAAGCUCUUUCACCGAUGAAGAUAAUGACGGUAGUCGGAGAAGAAGCCCCGGCUAACUUCGUG
Molecule: ribosomal RNA, 431 nt
Filed under: uncultured bacterium
Lineage: Bacteria
Description: partial 16S ribosomal RNA
Rfam family: Bacterial small subunit ribosomal RNA
Source: RNAcentral